UUAUACCUAUUCGAAGGGAUAGGGUCGGUUCGGCCGGGUUUCACACAGGUGUUGCAUGGCUGUCGUCAGCUCGUGUCGUGAGAUGUUGGGUUAAGUCCCGCAACGAGCGCAACCCUCAUCCUUAGUUACCAUCAGGUAAUGCUGGGGACUUUAAGGAGACUGCCAGUGAUAAACUGGAGGAAGGUGGGGAUGAUGUCAAGUCAUCAUGGCCCUUAUGGAGUGGGCUACACACGUGCUACAAUGGUGGCUACAAUGGGCUGCAAAGUCGCGAGGCUAAGCCAAUCCCUUAAAAGCCAUCUCAGUUCGGAUUGUACUCUGCAACUCGAGUGCAUGAAGUUGGAAUCGCUAGUAAUCGUGGAUCAGCACGCCACGGUGAAUACGUUCUCGGGUCUUGUACACACUGCCCGUCACGCCAUGGGAAUUGGUUUCACUCGAAGCUA
This 440-nucleotide ribosomal RNA is filed under the name Wolbachia sp. RNAcentral describes it as "bacterial SSU rRNA". It matches the Rfam family "Bacterial small subunit ribosomal RNA", at positions 992 to 1429 of the family's 1533-position model. Lineage: Bacteria; Pseudomonadati; Pseudomonadota; Alphaproteobacteria; Rickettsiales; Anaplasmataceae. The record is from RNAcentral.